UACGUAGGGUGCAAGCGUUAAUCGGAAUUACUGGGCGUAAAGCGUGCGCAGGCGGUUUUGUAAGUCUGUCGUGAAAUCCCCGGGCUCAACCUGGGGAAUUGCGAUGGAGACUGCAAGGCUAGAAUCUGGCAGAGGGGGGUAGAAUUCCACGUGUAGCAGUGAAAUGCGUAGAGAUGUGGAGGAACACCGAUGGCGAAGGCAGCCCCCUGGGUCAAGAUUGACGCUCAUGCACGAAAGCGUGGGGAGCAAACAGG
Molecule: ribosomal RNA, 254 nt
Filed under: uncultured bacterium
Lineage: Bacteria
Description: partial 16S ribosomal RNA
Rfam family: Bacterial small subunit ribosomal RNA
Source: RNAcentral